GUGAAUCAUCGAAUUUUUGAACGCAUAUUGCACUCUCUGGUAUUCCGGAGAGUAUGCCUAUUUGAGGGUCAUUUGAAAUAAUAUAAAUUCCAAGAUUUCUCGGAAUUUAAAAUGGGUGUUCAUUUUUUGUGGUUGCCUAAAAUCCAAGACAAGCCCAUUUUUUUGGGUUUCGGGAUACUUUUAGUUUACUC
RNAcentral lists this unclassified non-coding RNA (191 nucleotides) under Ambisporaceae sp. Its description in RNAcentral is "partial contains 5.8S ribosomal RNA and internal transcribed spacer 2". The stretch from base 1 to 71 matches the Rfam family "5.8S ribosomal RNA", at positions 84 to 154 of the family's 154-position model. The record is from RNAcentral. Lineage: Eukaryota; Fungi; Glomeromycota; Glomeromycetes; Archaeosporales; Ambisporaceae.